GCUUUGCUCUUAGCCGUGUAUUACGUUGUUUCUGCAGCAUUCCUGAGUAGUAUUUUCUCUGUUCCUCUCCAGCAGUUACAUGCAGAGCCGGGUUCCCCUGGGAGGUCCACCCAUGCAGGGCUGGAGAUGCAGCGCGCCAUUCCUGUCCUGCUGACUGCACGGUGACGACGUGAAAGGGAAACGUUCACCUUCUGUGUCACUUGCAGCAAGCUUAUCCCACAGGGUCUUCAAGGUCCGCAGAGGUCUUCUGGGACUGGGGUCUGAACAAAAGCAGUUGUGGUGCCAGUGUGUAAGGCAGCACUGGGCUAUGCUCCCACGGGGUGUUCAUCCUACCCUUCUGGAUCAUCGUUUUGCAGGAAAAGAGGAGAGUCACUGGAGCAGAUGCCUGGAUUUAAUGUGAAAUUUUUUUUAAGCCUUUGCUUGAGGAAGCUGCCAGGAGCACAGCUACAGUCAAAUAACUCUUUGCAAUGCCAUCAUUACCAGCAACAGGUAUUUAUUGAAAAAAUCAAGUGAACCCUUUUCUAAAGAAGUAAGUAAAAGACUUGCAGGCUGGUAAAGCAUGAGAAGUGGUGUUGCUCAGCUGACUGGGCACAGGAUUGAGUUUCAGUUGACCGGGGUUCAGCCCUUGGCUGUGCUGUGGACCUGCACCCUGUGACCUUGAGUUAAGGUCCUUCUUUCUCACCCAGCCCUGCUGUUUGUUUAGCUUUGUUAUCUGUGGGAAUUACUAAAGAUGGUGAGGUUAAGCAUCAAAACCAUAAAUCAAAUGAGGAGCUAUUGGGGAGGGAAAGGAGGGCUGAAGGUGGCUGGGUUUCCUCCAGCUUUGCUGCUGUCCUUCCAGGUACCGACUCCCUCGUCGGGGAUGGGUAUGUUGGACUUGGACCAGGCUGGGCAGGUCGCACAGAUACAGUGAUCCCUGGUGGCCCUGGCUAAAUGGUAAGAGCCAGGCCCCUUAGCUGUAGGUCUGUUGGUGGGGCAGGUCCUAUUUAUUCAUGUAGGUGGGUUCAAUUGCAAAGUCUUUGUGGCCAGGACUGUUUUCAAUCUGGUGGCUGUGCCCAGAAUAACAGGAGCAGGAUGUCAGUGGGAGCCUCCAGAGCUGCUGCAACACAAAUACUGAUCAGUCUCUAACAGAUAAUGUUUCCUGUCUCCAGCUUUUAAGAGAGCCUUGCGGGCCAAGGGAAUGGAAAUCUUCCUCUCUCUUUUACUGGUUGCGGUGUCCCGUUCAGGCAGGUACAACAGGGAAGCACCUGUUUGCUGCUCCAUCAGCUCUGGAUGUUCUCCAGAUGCCACUGGGGAGACCCGGUGGGUCCUGAGAAAGAAAAUAUGCCCACGAAGGCUCACUGGAGUGAUUACUAGCUAUCCCACACCUUGGGAAGCCAGUGCUAUCUGUGGCUCUGCCCUGAGGAAACUAGGUACCGACUGGAUAACGGCCAGGCCUGGGUGAAAUGGCCGGGCAGGGCGCGACAAGGGAGCCAGGAGGAAGGAAAUGAAGUCAGCCCUGUGAUCCACACCAGAUGCACACUCACGCUUUGCUACGAGCUCAUUACCCCCUGACCACGCGCUGCCCUGAUCUGCAGCUACAGCUGCGGGGGGAGCUGCCAAACUUGGCAAGGAUCCGGCCCGUUCCCGAAGCUCCCUUUCAGGCGCGAGGCAGCCCUUUCCCCAGGGCCCCGUGCGGAGCGGUGGUGGCUAAAUGAGUAAUACAGAAAUCUGCCUGCACAGCCAGCCAUAGCACAGUGUCGAAGCAUGGUGAUUUGUACGGACCGGUAUGAUCCCUCCUGGGCUUGCGCGGUGGCUGAUGGACAGCCAAGGCUGAAAAUGUUGGGUGGGUAGCUAUCACAGAAAAUAUUUGCGUUGUUUAUCAGGACAUGAAAAGUCAUGGGAUUUAAAGGAUAUAUCCACCAAGUACAACCAGUAAGUAGUUGCUUAAGAAAGCCUGCUGCUGGGACAACCAAAUCAUGGCCUCAGGGCAAAGAGGGGAGAAGAUCCUGUUCCCUGUAGGUCUGCUGGCAGCAGCCCUGGCUCUGUCCUGAACUCCUGCAGGACUGGGAUGAUUGCGACUCUGAUCCCAGGGGCUGUGGCCAAGGAAAGAGGAGGCGAGCUUGGAGAGGUGGCUCUGCGGGAGCUUCUGACACCAGGAGAUGAGGUAAAAGAGCUGGAGCUUGGCCUUUUUACGACUCUUAGUAGCACUGAUUUGUUUGAAGAAGUAGCAGUUGGAAGGAGAGGGAGCGGAGCAGACGCAGCUGUGGGCUAGGAGGCCAAAGGAGAAAGAGACAAGGCGAGGGAAGACCACUGCUAGGAGAUUCAUUUAUCCAAGCCAGCUGCACAUCUCAUGGCGUGUUUGUUUUUUUUUUAAUUGAUUUUUAUACUAACAGACAAUUAAGCUGAUCUAUUUAUUUUUUUGAUGUUUCUCUAGUACUGAGUCAUUUCCUGGGGGGUGGGAAGAAAAUAGCAUUUUUCUCAAAGCUUCAAAACAGUGUUUCAGAGUUUGGGUUGAGGAUUCUUUCUUUGUUUGUUUCUUUCCUUUCUUUCAAUGAAACAGCUACAUUUAAAAAAGCAUGAAAACAAAAAACAGAGGUUGACAACCCCCAAACUUCUGCCAGAGUUGCUCUUUGCUCACAGAAAUGGGUGUCCGUAAUGGGUAGCCCAAAGCAGUGUACAGGGUGAAGGAUGAGACCUGCCAAAGCAGCCAAGCACCAGACUGCCUUGUUGUCAUAUUCACCCGCAGAUGUUGAUGCUUUUUCCAGCUCCUACACACGUCACUUGUGUCGGUGCCUGUCUGCUCCGCAGCAUGCUGACCUUUCUUCUGGUUUACACAUCAAAACGGACUGUUUUGGCAGUGGUUUCCAAUUCGGUAAGCCACAUGCCUUUGCACUGUAGUGGACGUAGGGCAAAGCUGGCUAUAGCCCCCAAAGCUUACGUGUUAGUACAUGCUGUUGGUCUGGAGAAGCCUAGUGUGAAACAGUGGUGAGUCUGGAUCCUUUUUUGCCAGAAAGCUAUAAGUACAAUGGGUUAGUUAGAUCUUUGACUAAUAAAAAUGGACAUCUGCAAUCAAGCUAAUUUGCUAGAGAUUAGAGCCUAAUUAAAACCAAAGAAGCAAAGGGGCUGCCAGCCUCAGAACUAAGCGCAGGCACAGAGCACCGUGCAUUGACAGCUAAGAGAUGCACUGGCUUUUUGAAAAUAGACAGCAGUUAACCACCUUGAAGGAGAAGUCACACCACCCACGAAGCUCCCAAGCACCAACUUCACUCCGUCCUGUCUUUCCUGUGGAUUGGGGACAGGAUACCCACCGGCCAUGGUGGAAAGAACAGCAAAAACUUCCAUUGACAUCGAUGGGUUCUGGACUCAUCUUGUGGCCUUUUUUGUUUGUUUGUUUGUUACACAUGCCCUGUAAUACUUGGUGUCCAGAAUGUUUUACGCAUCGUUUCUCAGUGGAGAAGGAAGAAAGCAUCCACUUUCAGAGUCACUGCUUGUACAUCAUGCAGUUGGCACGCGAGGGACCAUUGCUUUUGGUUGAGCAUUGGCGUCAUUAUGCUGGAAGUCAGAGUCAGUGCAGUUACCUCAGAUCCAGAGAGGCUUAACUCACUGCAAUAUUUAACUGGUUAUCCUCCCUAAGUAGUAUGCCAUGAAGCCAGUAGUGAGAGGAAAGAAAACUUUUAAAGGUGUGCUCAUUGACCCAGUGAAUGUGGCAGGAAACCACAAAAACUAUGUUGGGACCAUGCACAAAGCAAACUUGAUCCUGCCUCUACCCCUGGUUUUUCAUGUCUGUCUUUCAUGGUGCUGAAGCUUGUUAGGACCCUUAGCACUGUGAUGUGCAAUAACACCUGGAAUUAAGUGCUAGCCUGAAGAGCUAACCCUUGGAAGUCAACAGGCACAUGGUCAACAGCAGGCGCUUGUAAAAUAGAGCCUGUCUGUUGAAAACAGCUUGAUUUCUUAUUCACAACAGAUCAUAUUAACCCAUUCUCAACUAAAUUGGCAAGGGGCAGUGAUUUAACAUUUUAAAACAAAAGGAAGCAAGAGGAUACUGGUGACUAAUUUCCUCCAAACAACGUCAUGUGGGUCAUCUUCCUCAUAUGUUGUUUGUUUUGUCAAUUAGUCUUUAGGUAGAUAUUCAUAUAUCAACUAUUAUUUUCCACUGUGAAUUGUGGUUUUCUGCCCAGCAGCAAGUCCAGUUUCCAGGGUAAUUGGGAAGCCAACUCCUUUCUAACUACGCAAAAGAUGAACUGUGUUUCCUGCAACUUUAAUGUCUCUAAUGUUAUUGGUUGAGUAACAGCCGGACACAACAGUGUCUUCUGUAAGGAAAUAUGCCAACAGUUGUUGCUUAGACGUGAAUAGAACUUACUUUUUUUUAAAUAAAAAAAAAAAAGUGUUUUGAAUGAUUUGAAGCUGCAAUAACAGUCCUUUCCAGUCAAAGCUUACCCUUCACAACAACAGGAUGCAUUGCUCCAUUU
Molecule: long non-coding RNA, 4448 nt
Organism: Harpia harpyja (harpy eagle)
Lineage: Eukaryota; Metazoa; Chordata; Aves; Accipitriformes; Accipitridae
Exons: 3
Source: RefSeq, a predicted model, not a curated record